Molecule: non-coding RNA, 592 nt
Organism: Dermacentor andersoni
Lineage: Eukaryota; Metazoa; Arthropoda; Arachnida; Ixodida; Ixodidae
Source: RefSeq, a predicted model, not a curated record
UUCGCGCUUUUUUUGCCGAUUUUGAAACUUUCGGAAGCGGUGGAUGGUGGUGGCGGCGGUUCGUUUUAAAGUACUCUGCUUAAAGUGAUUCGAGUUUUCGAGGGGAGAACUACGGAUCGUGUUUGCAAGAACGACAGCAACAGCCUCGCUUUAUUUUGGUUCAAGGCGGCUUUGAACGACCCAAUGUGAGCUAAUAUGCUGUCACACUAUCAAAACUGCUGCUUGAGCGUCGUCUGUGGCUUAAAGUUUGCAAGGAGAGGGAGAACUAUACAUAGAGCAGUCGACGCAGAGGUGGAUCGAGCCGUCUUUUUUCAUGACAAGAACAGCAGGCGAUGACCACGAACUGCAGGAUGGCUGAAUGAUGCCGCGCUGAAGCAUGUCUUCGACUUGACACGGUAAGGGCACUGUCGCAAAGGUGCUUGGGAGCCAGUGUCAACCGGAUGGAGAACCGUGUGCGUUUGGCCUAAUGAUGUCUUCUGCCAAUCAAACGAGCCAUGAAACUGGUGUAGAAGUGCAGGAAGUUUUUGCGGUGCACCUCUGCAAGUUUGUCAUCGGUGGCGGAGCCACACAUAUUUAGAGGUGGGUGAUCAGG